This 860-nucleotide long non-coding RNA is filed under the name Mytilus galloprovincialis (Mediterranean mussel). Lineage: Eukaryota; Metazoa; Mollusca; Bivalvia; Mytilida; Mytilidae. The record is from RNAcentral.
UAAAUCUGUCACUGUUUUAUUUGUUAAUAAUUAAUCUUCUUUCUUUAUUAAUUUGAGUUAUUUGAUGAACUUCCAGCAGCAAACAUUUUAUUCAUUUUUAGAAAGAUUGUUUUAUGACUUGAUAUCUUACACAAUAAAUAUUUGUAUAUCUCCUCAUUAGAAUGUGUGAUAUAUAUAACAAAAAGUUGCCUCAUAUUUCUCAACCAUAACAAUUAGUUCCAAUCAAUUAUUAUUCAUUAUCAUAUACUUGUAUGAAAUAUUACUAAAAUUUUACAAUUCAAUAACAUUUAAAAAUAUUAAAAGGCUAUUAAAGGUUUGCUAGGUUUAUUGGACAGAUUCCUAAGAAUUUCCUCAGCGGGGUGAUAAAGGGACCUUUAGUGACUGCUUCAGGAAUGUUAUCAUAUGCCUUUCCGCUAAUUUCUGUGACGUUUAUCACAUGCAACUUCGUGCAUUUCCAGAAAUUUGUUAGAAUAUGACAAAACAGUGCUGAAAACCGCAAGUGAUUUAAGAAUUUUCACAAAAUAGUUGAGGAGCAAAUUUUUUUAAUGAAUAGUUGUUGUCUGUAAUUCAUCUGGUGAAGUAUAUGAUAAAAAGAUCAUUAAAUGUCAUUUUUCAUAUCAGACCCUUUAUCGGCCCUGGUACAUGAUAUCAUCCUUCGAGCCUGCGGCUCUUGGGCGAUAUCAUGACCUAGGGCCGAUAAAGGGUCUGAUAUGAAAAAUGCCAUGUAAUAAUCUAUACUUAUUGUGAUAAUAGUCUUUAUUUAUGUUUUCAUACACAACAUAUCUUGUAUUAUUUCAAACUUAUAUUCUUCAUAGCACUAUAAGGUUUAUUUCAAAUAUGCAUGUUUCCAGCUGUAUUUU